Molecule: long non-coding RNA, 1159 nt
Filed under: Manihot esculenta (cassava)
Lineage: Eukaryota; Viridiplantae; Streptophyta; Magnoliopsida; Malpighiales; Euphorbiaceae
Description: long non-coding RNA (MESC_LNC010675)
Source: RNAcentral
GAUAACCGGUUGGCCGAGGCAACUGGGCUCGUUCUAUUUGGAAGUGGCUUUGCCAGGAUAAGGUGGCGUUCCUCACGGCCACGUUAAUGUCCAUUCUGUGGACCGAGGCCAUUUUCUAGAGGAAGUCUAGAGCCUUUUCCUCGUCUCUCUACAGUUGAACUCCACUAUUUGGAAGUGGCUUUGCCAGGAUAAGGUGGCGUUCCUCACGGCCACGUUAAUGUCCAUUCUGUGGACCGAGGCCAUUUUCUAGAGGAAGUCUAGAGCCUUUUCCUCGUCUCUCUAUAGUUGAACUCCACCCUUUUUGAGCUCCACAUAAAUGUUCCAAUCAGUCUGGAGUUGUCUAAAGCCCCCGAACACUCGGUGGUAGACAAUGAAAGACUUAUUUUUUCAAUGUUUCAAGGAAGAGAGGAUAUGGUCAAAGAGAGUCUGACUUUUUUUCGCUGAAGAACCAAAACUCCUUAUUCCUCCGGAUUCCUAGCUAGUAUAGCUGGGAGAAGAGAGCAACUCUCAGAUUGUUAUUAUUAUUGAAGCACACAAAUCGAAAGGCCACGGGAAUCCUCCAACUGUUUGAAUGAAGUUGGGCGACUACAGUUUAUGGAUUUUGAGGAUUUCAAUGAAAAAUGGGUCAAUCGAAAAAUGAAGACCCACCUUCAACUAUUCCUCGUAUACCAUGAUGGUAUCUUGAGCAGUGAUCUGGUCAUUUACGUGAACAUUUAGAUUAGGAGCGGAAAUCAUGAAGAUCUCUUUGGAGAUCUUGUAAUGGUCAUGAAGACUAUCUACGUCCAUCUCAGUUAGCACAAAUGGGAUGUCAUUCACCUGAAGGAUAUCAUUAUCAUGGGCUGACCUCAAUGGAACUACAGGAGCCAGAGCACGAAUGGGGCCGCUGGAGGAAGAGCUGGGGGUUGAACUACAAUGAGAAAAAGAACAAGAAGACAAAGAGGACCUGUUCAUUUCUAAAGUAUGAAAAAAGACAAAAGUAGGAGUUACUUUCAGAAAAUGCAAGAGCCUAAGGCCGAGAGUACUAAUCUUUUCAGAGCAGAAGUGGUGAUCGUAGGCGAAAGGGAGAUUUUAUAUUGUUGUUUCGACAGCUGAUCUAAAUGUGGCUUGAGAAGUAAGGCAAAGCAGUAUUGAUGACUAGUACAGGCGAAAAGAAGUGGAU